AUUGGACGCUGGCGGCAGGCCUAACACAUGCAAGUCGAGCGGAUGAAGGGAGCUUGCUCCUGGAUUCAGCGGCGGACGGGUGAGUAAUGCCUAGGAAUCUGCCUGGUAGUGGGGGAUAACGUCCGGAAACGGGCGCUAAUACCGCAUACGUCCUGAGGGAGAAAGUGGGGGAUCUUCGGACCUCACGCUAUCAGAUGAGCCUAGGUCGGAUUAGCUAGUUGGUGGGGUAAAGGCCUACCAAGGCGACGAUCCGUAACUGGUCUGAGAGGAUGAUCAGUCACACUGGAACUGAGACACGGUCCAGACUCCUACGGGAGGCAGCAGUGGGGAAUAUUGGACAAUGGGCGAAAGCCUGAUCCAGCCAUGCCGCGUGUGAAGAAGGUCUUCGGAUUGUAAAGCACUUUAAGUUGGGAGGAAGGGCAGUAAGUUAAUACCUUGCUGUUUUGACGUUACCAACAGAAUAAGCACCGGCUAACUUCGUG
This 482-nucleotide ribosomal RNA is filed under the name uncultured bacterium. RNAcentral describes it as "partial 16S ribosomal RNA". It matches the Rfam family "Bacterial small subunit ribosomal RNA", at positions 30 to 507 of the family's 1533-position model. The record is from RNAcentral.